GCGGUCAUAGUGUAGUGGUAACAUAACAGACUUCCAAUCUGUUGUCACGGGUUCGAAUCCCGUUGGUCGCU
RNAcentral lists this transfer RNA (71 nucleotides) under Bacillus anthracis (anthrax bacterium). Its description in RNAcentral is "tRNA-Gly". It matches the Rfam family "tRNA". Rfam says of the family: Transfer RNA (tRNA) molecules are approximately 80 nucleotides in length. Lineage: Bacteria; Bacillati; Bacillota; Bacilli; Caryophanales; Bacillaceae. RNAcentral also lists the same sequence under 9 other names. The record is from RNAcentral.